UUAUUUGUUUAUUUUUAUGUGGUGCCAGGGAUCGAACCCAGUGCCUCACGAAUGGUAGGCAAGCAGUCUACCACUGAGCCACAGCCCCAUCCCCUAAACUAUAUUCCUUAGCAACCUUAACAUGGCAACUCUUGGUCCUGGGCAUUUCCAUAUGUAUUUCAAGAACCAAUUGGUUGAUUUACCCAAAUAAAACUGAAUUUCCCUGGAUUUUCCUUGAGUCUAUAAAUAUAGGGUGAAUUAACAAAUACCAGACAUAUAAAAAACUGCUAUAACUCAACAAUUAAAAAAUAAAUAAAUAAAUAAUGGGCAAAAGAUUCAAAUAGCCAUUUUUCCAGAUAGAAAAAUGACUGAUAAGCCUAUGAAAAGAUGAUCAAUUAUAUUAGUCAGUAGGCAAAUAUGAUAUUACUUCAUAUCUACUAGAAUGGCUAGAAUCAAAAAGACAAAUAAUAACAAGUAUGUUGAAGAUAUGAAGAAAUUAGAACCCUCAUACAUUGCUGGUAGAAUUUAAAAUGGUAUAACCACUAUAGAAAACAGUUUGGCUGUCUUCAAAAAGCUAAGCAUGGAGUUACCACAUGAGUUAACAAUUCUACUCCUAGGUAUGCAAGAGAAUUGAAAACUUGUGUUCAC
Molecule: long non-coding RNA, 627 nt
Filed under: Marmota monax (woodchuck)
Lineage: Eukaryota; Metazoa; Chordata; Mammalia; Rodentia; Sciuridae
Source: RNAcentral